UACGUAGGGUGCAAGCGUUGUCCGGAAUUAUUGGGCGUAAAGAGCGUGUAGGCGGCCAGAUAAGUCCGCUGUGAAAUCUCGAGGCUCAACUUCGAGCUGUCGGUGGAAACUAUCUGGCUAGAGUCCGGAAGAGGAGAAUGGAAUUCCUGGUGUAGCGGUGAAAUGCGCAGACAUCAGGAAGAACACCCGUGGCGAAGGCGGUUCUCUGGGACGGUACUGACGCUGAGACGCGAAAGCGUGGGGAGCGAACAGG
RNAcentral lists this ribosomal RNA (253 nucleotides) under uncultured bacterium. RNAcentral describes it as "partial 16S ribosomal RNA". It matches the Rfam family "Bacterial small subunit ribosomal RNA", at positions 524 to 776 of the family's 1533-position model. The record is from RNAcentral.